RNAcentral lists this unclassified non-coding RNA (308 nucleotides) under uncultured Arachnomycetaceae. Its description in RNAcentral is "sequence contains ITS1". The stretch from base 1 to 105 matches the Rfam family "5.8S ribosomal RNA", at positions 50 to 154 of the family's 154-position model. The record is from RNAcentral. Lineage: Eukaryota; Fungi; Ascomycota; Eurotiomycetes; Onygenales.
GAAAUGCGAUAAGUAAUGUGAAUUGCAGAAUUCAGUGAAUCAUCGAAUCUUUGAACGCACAUUGCGCCCCCUGGUAUUCCGGGGGGCAUGCCUGUCCGAGCGUCAUUACUGCCCUCAAGCGCGGCUUGUGUGUUGGGCCCUCGCCCCUCUCCGGGGGCGUGCCCGAAAGGCAGUGGCGGCGCCGUGCCCGGUCCUCGAGCGUAUGGGGCUUCGUCACCCGCUCUGGAGGCCAGGCCGGCCGCCGCCGACACCACCCAGACCUUCAACCGGUUGACCUCGGAUCAGGCAGGGAUACCCGCUGAACUUAA